AACUUCCUUAUAUUUUCGAAAAAAAUAGUAGCUCUACUCAAGUUAAUAUAUAUAUAUAAUAUAGCUCUUAUAUUUUUAAAAGUACCAAGUUAGUGUUGCUUUUAUGUUUUCAGCCCUUGGAUAAAGGAUAGUUGCUAGUUUAAUUAACGAUGUAAAAGUAUCGAAAUCGGUUAAAUUUUUGAUAAAAAAAUUUAUUCACUAUCUAAAUAAAAAUCAAUAACUCCAAUCAAUUUACCGACCGUCCCUAGAGCAAGUGGCAAAGGGCUUGGUGGUUGGUACUCGAGACCCAAGUUCGAAUCCUAGUUGAUUCACAUUUUCAGCUAAGUUUAUUUCUAAAUAAAAUAAACGAAGCGGGUAGCGUGCUACCUAUCUCUCAAAAAAAAGAGAAAAAGAACAAGAAUACGAUCAAUUUUAGAGCGUCGUUCAAUUUUGACCGUUCAUUUUCUACCCGCUUGAUGGACUUUAUUAUGGUUUCAAAAAAUUACGAAAUUUAUUUUCUAAAAAUUUUA
Molecule: long non-coding RNA, 509 nt
Filed under: Ananas comosus (pineapple)
Lineage: Eukaryota; Viridiplantae; Streptophyta; Magnoliopsida; Poales; Bromeliaceae
Description: long non-coding RNA (ACOM_LNC004241)
Source: RNAcentral